RNAcentral lists this ribosomal RNA (497 nucleotides) under uncultured bacterium. RNAcentral describes it as "partial 16S ribosomal RNA". It matches the Rfam family "Bacterial small subunit ribosomal RNA", at positions 28 to 507 of the family's 1533-position model. The record is from RNAcentral.
GAUGAACGCUGGCGGCGUGCCUAAUACAUGCAAGUCGAGCGAACGGACGAGAAGCUUGCUUCUCUGAUGUUAGCGGCGGACGGGUGAGUCACACGUGGAUAACCUACCUCUAAGACUGGGAUAACUUCGGGAAACCGGAGCUAAUACCGGAUAAUAUUUUGAACCGCAUGGUUCAAAAGUAAAAGUCGCUCUUGCUGUCACUUAUAGAUGCAUCCGGGCUGCAUUAGCUAGUUGGUAAGGUAACGGCUUACCAAGGCAACGAUGCAUAGCCGACCUGAGAGAGUGGUCGGCCACACGGGAACUGAGACACGGCCCAGACUCCUACGGUAGGCAGCAGUAGGGAAUCUUACGCAAUGGUGGAAAGCCUGACGGAGCAACGCGGCGUGAGUGAUGAAGGUGUUCGGAUGGGAAAACUCUGUUAUUAGGGGAGAACAUAUGUGUAAGUAACUGUGCUCAUCUUGACGGUACCUGAUCAGAAAGCCACGGCUAACUACGUG